Non-coding RNA from Salvia hispanica, 304 nucleotides. Lineage: Eukaryota; Viridiplantae; Streptophyta; Magnoliopsida; Lamiales; Lamiaceae. The record is from RefSeq and is a predicted model, not a curated record.
CUGAAGAUCCAACUCCUCCUGAUGAGUUACCCAUAGCUAUUCGCAAAGUGAUUCCAACUUCUUACCAAGAGGCACUCAAACACCCUUUAUGGCGAGCCGCUAUGGAUGAGGAGAUGCGAGCUCUCUUGAGUCGUGGUACUUGGAUAUUGUAUUGAUCGAUACAAAGCUCGGCUUGUGGCCAAAGGGUACACACAAACUUACGCUUGAUGUGAAGAAUGCUUUCUUGUAUGGUGAUUUGACUCCGACGGUCUUUAUGGAGCAACCUCCGGGUUAUGUUGCUCAGGGGGAGGAUGCUACUAAGGUU